UAGGGAAUCUUCGGCAAUGGACGAAAGUCUGACCGAGCAACGCCGCGUGAGUGAAGAAGGUUUUCGGAUCGUAAAACUCUUUUGUUAGAGAAGAACAAGGACGUUAGUAACGGAACGUCCCCUGACGGUAUCUAACCAGAAAGCCACGGCUAACUACGUGCCAGCAGCCGCGGUAAUACGUAGGUGGCAAGCGUUGUCCGGAUUUAUUGGGCGUAAAGCGAGCGCAGGCGGUUUCUUAAGUCUGAUGUGAAAGCCCCCGGCUCAACCGGGGAGGGUCAUUGGAAACUGGGAGACUUGAGUGCAGAAGAGGAGAGUGGAAUUCCAUGUGUAGCGGUGAAAUGCGUAGAUAUAUGGAGGAACACCAGUGGCGAAGGCGGCUCUCUGGUCUGUAACUGACGCUGAGGCUCGAAAGCGUGGGGAGCAAACAGG
RNAcentral lists this ribosomal RNA (429 nucleotides) under Gemmatimonadota bacterium. Its description in RNAcentral is "Gemmatimonadetes bacterium partial 16S ribosomal RNA". It matches the Rfam family "Bacterial small subunit ribosomal RNA", at positions 355 to 776 of the family's 1533-position model. The record is from RNAcentral. Lineage: Bacteria; Pseudomonadati; Gemmatimonadota.